RNAcentral lists this transfer RNA (59 nucleotides) under Vibrio cholerae HC-41A1. RNAcentral's name for it is "partial tRNA-OTHER". It matches the Rfam family "tRNA", at positions 1 to 56 of the family's 71-position model. From Rfam's summary of the family: Transfer RNA (tRNA) molecules are approximately 80 nucleotides in length. Their secondary structure includes four short double-helical elements and three loops (D, anti-codon, and T loops). Further hydrogen bonds mediate the characteristic L-shaped molecular structure. tRNAs have two regions of fundamental functional importance: the anti-codon, which is responsible for specific mRNA codon recognition, and the 3' end, to which the tRNAs corresponding amino acid is attached (by aminoacyl-tRNA synthetases). tRNAs cope with the degeneracy of the genetic code in two manners: having more than one tRNA (with a specific anti-codon) for a particular amino acid; and 'wobble' base-pairing, i.e. permitting non-standard base-pairing at the 3rd anti-codon position. Lineage: Bacteria; Pseudomonadati; Pseudomonadota; Gammaproteobacteria; Vibrionales; Vibrionaceae. The record is from RNAcentral.
GGCUACGUAGCUCAGUUGGUUAGAGCACAUCACUCAUAAUGAUGGGGUCACAGGUUCAA